This 704-nucleotide long non-coding RNA is filed under the name Sorghum bicolor (sorghum). Its description in RNAcentral is "long non-coding RNA (SBIC_LNC001211)". Lineage: Eukaryota; Viridiplantae; Streptophyta; Magnoliopsida; Poales; Poaceae. The record is from RNAcentral.
CGCUUGCGGAUCAUUUCCUGGUGGCGUUACCAAAUAUCAACAAGCAUUUCUGGCGCCGUUGCCGGGGAGAAAGACGGUUUGCUGAGAUAACUUUAAGUCUUGCUAUUAUCUUGUAUUAUACUUUUAUACUUUUAUUCUUUUAUCUUUUUAUUUUUUCCAUCUUUAUAGAUAACUCAAAUUCCACACCUAUUAUUAAAUUUUUUGCACCUUCAGAGACCAGCCAUAGACCAUGGGAGUCAACAAGUCCUUUCUUUGCCCCUAAUUAUGAUCUGUGUUCGGAGUUGAUUGCAAUAGGUCAAAACCAACCCUUUUCUAUAGCUGAGGUCCUAUCUUUUAAUCAAGAAGAUAAUGAACUUUUAGCUACACCUAGGGAAUCUGUUAAUCUUUCUAUAAAUUCUGGUUUAAACCUAGCACUACAAGACCAUGUUUUUUCUCGAUAUUGUCACAUUGGUCUUAAUCAUAUAACCUUUGGUAGAGUCUUUCUUUCUUUAUCUAUUAGUAAAGGAAGGUAUGUCUUCAUUCAUGGACAUCCUUCUUGCACUAGUCUUCAUAAAAAAUUCCUAGAGAUAGAGAAGGAAUCAUCUCCCAGACAAGGAAAGGAAGUUUCAAUAGCCGAUUUCCAAACAUUUCAAUCCCAUGAUUCGGCUAUCCAACCCAUCUUUGAGCUUAAUAAUUUCUACUAUGCUCUUUCUCUUGAACCUCCC